GACUCAAUGAUCUUUGAGGAUGUGGCUGUGAACUUCACCCAGGAGGAGUGGGCUUUGCUGGGUCCUUCCCAGAAGAAACUCUACAGAGAUGUGAUGUGGGAAAUCAUCAGGAACCUGAUGUCUGUAGAAAUCAUAUGGCAGAGAGACUCUGUGAAUGUAAAGAUGGUCAAUGUGGAGAAACUUUCAGCCUGAUUCCAGAUGGUAUAAUGAACAAGAAGACUCUUCCUGGGGUGAAACCAUGUGAAAGCAGUGUGUGUGGAGAAGGCAACAUGGAUCAUUCAUCUCUGAAUUGCUACAUCAGAGCUGACACUGGACACAAAUCAUAUGAGUGUCAGGAACGUGGAGAGAAGCCACAUAAAUGUAAGCAGUGUGUGAAAACCUUCAGCUGCCUCCACUCCUUCCAAACACAUGAAAAGCCUCACACUGGAGAGAAACCCUAUGAUUGUAAGGAAUGGGAAAAAACCUUUGUUUCUCCCCAAACUGUUCGAAGAUACAGGGUCGUGCACAGUGGAGAUGGACCUUAUAAAUGUAAGUUUUGUGGGAAAGCCUUUGAUAAUCUCAGUUUAUAUCUCACACAUGAAAGAUCUCAUACUGGACAGAAGCCAUAUGAAUGUAAUGAAUGUGGGAAAGCCUUUGGUUUUCCCAGCUCCUUUCAUAGACAUGAAAGAACGCACACCAGGGAGAAACCAUAUGGAUGUAAGCAAUGUGGGAAAACCUUUAGUUGUUCCAGUUCCAUUAAAAAACAUGAAAGAAUCCACACUGGAGAGAAGCCCUAUGAAUGCAAGCAAUGUGGGAAAGCCUUCGCUUCUUCCAAUUCCUUUCAGUAUCAUGAAAGGACUCACACUGGAGAGAAACCCUAUGAAUGUAAGCAAUGUGGGAAAGCCUUUAAUUGUUCCAGUUCCAUUAGAAAACAUGCAAGAAUUCACACUGGAGAGAAACCCUAUAUAUGUAAACAAUGUGGUAAAGCUUUUAGAUUUCCCAGUUCUAUUAAAAAUCAUGAAAAGACUCAUACUGGAGAGAAACCCUAUGAAUGUCAGGAAUGUGGGAAAGCCUUCAGAUAUUCCAGUUCACUUCGAGUACAUAAAAGAAUUCACACUGGAGAGAAGCCGUAUGAAUGUGAGGACUGUGGGAAAGCCUUCAGUCAUCCCACGACCUUUCAUAGACAUAAAAUUACCCACACUGCAGAGAAACCUUAUGAAUGUCAGGAAUGUGGGAAAGCCUUAAAGAACUCACACUUGAGAAAAACAAUGAUGUUAGGAACAUGGGAAGCCUUUCCUUUCUCUCUCAAUCGUUUGAAGGCAUACAAUGUGACAUGCUGGCGAUAGAUCUCAUAACUGUAAGGAACAUGGAAAACGAUUCUUGUUUUCCAUGCUCCUUGUUUAUUUUAGAUACAUGAAAGAAUUUACUCUGGAGAGAAACUAUGAGUGUAAAAAAUGUGGUAAAGCCUUGUGUAGUUUCUGUUUCUCUGAAAUACUGUCAUGUCCUGGUAUUCUCAGGGGAUUACUUGCAGGCACCCCGCUCCCCACUUCAGAACAUCUAAAUCUGAAGAUGCUCAAGUGCUUUAUAUAAAAUGGUGUAUUUUCCUAGAACCUAAGCACAUCCUCUUGUACACUUUAAAUCAUCUCUAGGUUAUAAUGCCUAAUGCAUUGUAAACGAUAUAAAAAUAGUUGUUUCACUGUGUUAUUUAGGGAAUGCUGACAAGAAAAAAUAUCUGUAGAUGUUUAAUACAGAUAACCAUCACAGGCCCACCUCCAUAGUACAGGCCCACCUCAUAGUAUAUGUCAGCUACAAUGCAACAUUUUCUUUUUUUUAAAAAAAGUUUUGGAUUGGUUUCAUUUAAUGGCCCGAAAACAUGUGUUAA
Molecule: long non-coding RNA, 1861 nt
Filed under: Pongo abelii (Sumatran orangutan)
Lineage: Eukaryota; Metazoa; Chordata; Mammalia; Primates; Hominidae
Description: lincRNA
Source: RNAcentral